CUCACAAAACGACCCCUGGAAUGAGACCCCAUCGACCAUCGUCAGCCGCCUCAACUUGACCCCAAAGUCACACCCCUUGACCACUAGACCCCCCUCGUCCCUAAUCUAGCACUACCAUCAUUCGAAUCAAGCUGGAUGCUUUCGAAUUUGAAGUCAACUCGACGAACCCUGAAAGAACCAAGCCAGGGGAUCGAUACACAGUAGAAACUGCGGUCGUAAUCGACCUUAGUCGUGUGUUCUCGGUCGAGAACACUCGAUUAAGGUCCAUUUCGGCUUCAGAAUCAAGUUGAAGCUUCGAGUAGGACGAAUUCGUUUGGUCUGAGAUUCUGAGGUAUUUCUUCUCUUUUUUUUUUCUUUUUUUGUUGUUGUUGUUGUUAUUGUUUGCCUAGUUAGGUUUCGUUGUAAUUCAUCAUUUUAUCAAGUAGUUCUUCCUCCUCUUUCGGACCUUUUUCUUGGUCCAGUUUUCUUCUGUUGAUUAGCAUAUGCUAUAAAUUGUUGAAUCGAUUAAAUAGUUUCGUCGAUUAGUCCGUUCAUGUUUUUAGUUUAGUAGUCCUCGUCAAGUUAUUUGAUGUCGAUUGACUCAUUUUCUGAUCCUUAGAUUCCCAGCUUCAGGGCUCAUCGUUAGUAUGCUAUCUGUUCCUAAAUCUUUGUUUUAAUGUUAUUCAUUUAAUUUGAGUUUCGAGCUUAAACUGUGGUCUGAGUUUGAUGAAUUGAAUCCUAAGGUUGUCAUGUUCAGGGUCUGAUAUGAAUCUAUCAUUGGUUUAAAUUCAGUUUUGGUGUGAUAGUGUUGAUUAGGAGUUAGUUUCAUGUGGUUUAGGUGGAUUGGUUAUAGCUGAUGGGUAGUAAUGACCGGGGUUUCAUGGGAUAAUUUGGGACUUAAAAGUUUAAAAAUGGUUAGUUUAAGUGUUCUGUCCAGUAAGUACUAAUGUAACAUUAAACUAAUGCAUUUGUUUAGUAGUAGUGGGGAACAAAACAUAAUAGCAUGGGGAGGCCUAAUGGGAAAGUAAUUAAAGUAUGUACUACCCAUAACCAUUGAAUUAGAUAAAGAAAAGACAAGGGUUAGUGGGGAACAAGUGAAUCAAAAACAGAGCAAAACAUAUAUGGGUGGGGUUCUAGAGAAUAUCAUGGGCAAAAAUGCUUAAUUAAUGGGUCUGAGUGCUCCUAAGAGCUGUAAAAGGGGAUGUAGUUUGCAUAUAAAUAGGGGGAUUUUGGACAGAGUUAAGGAUCCUUUUUUUUCAAAUAGGACAGAGUCUUCCUUUUUGAAUCAGUUUUAGAGAGAUAUAGAGCUUUUAAGGCACUCAGUUUUGGAGAGAGGUUCAAGACUGGAAUCAAUUUGAGAAUGCUUUGGAGAGAUUUUCUAGGAUUUUAGUUCUUAGGGAGCAUUUUGAAAACUUUUAGGGCAUUCAAUUCUAAUUUGAAACAUACAGAGAGUUUGAGAUAUCAAUUUUAUGAGCCCUUUUUUGAGAGCUUUUGGAUUGCUAGCUACUGGAGUCAGUAGUGUUUUCUGCUUGAUUUUCGAGAAGACUUUUGAUUUCAGUCGAGACAUUCUAGGAGCAGAUUGAGCGUGUUGUUGAUGUGGUAUGUUUCUAGGUUCAAUUUGAAGGUCAUUUGGGUUUAUUCGAAUCUAUUUUGGGUUGAUUUAUUUAUCUUGUUAGUUUAAAACAUUUCUGAAUUCUUCCUGUAUUGAUAAAUAUAUUUCUGGGCUGAAGCUGGGUUGAUUGGUGUUGUUUGAACUCAAAUACUUGGUUGUUGUGAUCCGUUGUGUGCUGCUGUUGCUAACCUCUCCUUCUUCCUAUUCCUUUAUGCUUUCAGGUACACAUUCUCAGUUUGAGUUGAUGUAGCUCUUUUGGUUAAAAAAUAGUGAAAUGAAAUAAUUUCAUAUUCACCUCUUAACAGGUGUGGGUCCAAGUAGUUAUGCCAAAAAUAGGUAAUAGUUGAUUUGUAUUUGUUUAGACUUACUUUAUGAUUUACAUUGUACAAGUGAGCUGAAGAUUGGAUUGUAUAACUUAAGACUGAUUUUGGACUACUGAACUCUCAGUUGGACUUAUGUGUUCGUGUUGGCAAUUAGGUAGAAAUUGAAGUAGUAUUCGUACUAUUAACAAAUCAUGUUUGAAACUCAGCAUAAAUGAGACUAUUACAUGUUGUAUACUAGUGGUAGUUAGUUCAUGUUAGGUGGAUAGAACAAUCUCAUAAGUGAUUUGUUUAACAUCAACAUCAUCUUCAUAGCUUGAGUUCUAAUUAAAAAGAAACGGUGUUGGUUUAGUUCAAUUUGGUCAAUGAAUUCAAUAGGUUCAAUGAAUUGACAAGCACGUCCUUAAAGUCUGUUUAAAACAAAAUCGCAGAUAGAAAUGUCCAUUCUUUGUCCUUGAUAAAAGAAACCAAACAAAAUAAUCCGUUGAAUGAACUGG
RNAcentral lists this long non-coding RNA (2408 nucleotides) under Nicotiana benthamiana. Its description in RNAcentral is "long non-coding RNA (NBEN_LNC025449)". The record is from RNAcentral. Lineage: Eukaryota; Viridiplantae; Streptophyta; Magnoliopsida; Solanales; Solanaceae.